GCUUACAGCCGCUUCCCACAAGCCCCCGGCGCGCACGGCUUCCGGUCUGCAGGACGGGGGGCGGGAGGGAAUGGGGGAGCCGAAGCCCGGAGUUGCCAUGGGGACGCGCGGAAAGGACCUCCGCAAAGUGUCCCCAGCCUCUGCUGGGUUAGCGAAUGAGAGAGCAGUAAACAAGCAGCUGCCAGAACUGAGAGAGCAGUAAACAAGCAGCUGCCAGAACAGCGAGACUUCCCGUUCCAGCCAGAGCUCACCUUCCCAUAACCCCUGCAACUUUUCUCUCCUCACAGUGAGGUUUUAAUACAGUCUUUUUACCCUCGGCUUUGGCUAUAGCCAGACUGUUUUCUGCAACCUUUUCUCUAUUGUGACUCCUAAGAACUAACUCAAAACACGCUUAGUGUUUCUUUUGGAGAUUGUAUAGCAAAUUAAUACUGAAAAACAAAAAUAAUAAAUAUACUCAAGUAAAAAUGUGA
Long non-coding RNA from Mastomys coucha (southern multimammate mouse), 470 nucleotides. RefSeq lists it as uncharacterized. Lineage: Eukaryota; Metazoa; Chordata; Mammalia; Rodentia; Muridae. The transcript is spliced from 2 exons. The record is from RefSeq and is a predicted model, not a curated record.